RNAcentral lists this ribosomal RNA (440 nucleotides) under uncultured bacterium. RNAcentral's name for it is "partial 16S ribosomal RNA". It matches the Rfam family "Bacterial small subunit ribosomal RNA", at positions 338 to 795 of the family's 1533-position model. The record is from RNAcentral.
CCUACGGGAGGCAGCAGUGGGGAAUAUUGCACAAUGGGGGGAACCCUGAUGCAGCGACGCCGCGUGAGUGAAGAAGUAUUUCGGUAUGUAAAGCUCUAUCAGCAGGGAAGAAAAUGACGGUACCUGACUAAGAAGCCUCGGCUAACUACGUGCCAGCAGCCGCGGUAAUACGUAGGGGGCAAGCGUUAUCCGGAUUUACUGGGUGUAAAGGGAGCGCAGACGGCUGUGCAAGUCUGGAGGGAAAGGCGGGGGUCCAACCCCCGGACUGCACUGGAAACUGUAAAGCUUGAGUGCAGGAGAGGUAAGCGGAAUUCCUAGUGUAGCGGUGAAAUGCGUAGAUAUUAGGAGGAACACCAGUGGCGAAGGCGGCUUACUGGACUGCAACUGACGUUGAGGCUCGAAAGCGUGGGGAGCAAACAGGAUUAGAUACCCUUGUAGUC